This 77-nucleotide transfer RNA is filed under the name Oscillospiraceae bacterium. RNAcentral describes it as "tRNA-Asp". It matches the Rfam family "tRNA". Rfam says of the family: Transfer RNA (tRNA) molecules are approximately 80 nucleotides in length. Lineage: Bacteria; Bacillati; Bacillota; Clostridia; Eubacteriales; Oscillospiraceae. The record is from RNAcentral. RNAcentral also lists the same sequence under 1 other name.
GGCUAUGUAGCUCAGUAGCGUAGAGUGCCGGCCUGUCACGCCGGAGGUCGCGGGUUCGAGUCCCGUCAUAGUCGCCA